GCCGGGAUGUUGGAAUCGGUAGACAAUGGGGACUUAAAAUCCCUUGGGCCGUAGGCCCGUGCGGGUUCGACUCCCGCUCCCGGCACCA
Molecule: transfer RNA, 88 nt
Filed under: Bacillota bacterium
Lineage: Bacteria; Bacillati; Bacillota
Also listed under: 1 other name
Description: tRNA-Leu
Rfam family: tRNA
About the family: Transfer RNA (tRNA) molecules are approximately 80 nucleotides in length. Their secondary structure includes four short double-helical elements and three loops (D, anti-codon, and T loops). Further hydrogen bonds mediate the characteristic L-shaped molecular structure. tRNAs have two regions of fundamental functional importance: the anti-codon, which is responsible for specific mRNA codon recognition, and the 3' end, to which the tRNAs corresponding amino acid is attached (by aminoacyl-tRNA synthetases). tRNAs cope with the degeneracy of the genetic code in two manners: having more than one tRNA (with a specific anti-codon) for a particular amino acid; and 'wobble' base-pairing, i.e. permitting non-standard base-pairing at the 3rd anti-codon position.
Source: RNAcentral